AUGGGGUCAGCAUUCAUUGCAUCUGGGAUUGUAUUGUUUGUGGGUUUCUCCUAUGCCGUCGUUGUGUCCAAGCUGCUUCCACCAUAUGAGAACCAACUUAUGUCCGCUAUCCAAAAUGAUAGGUAUUACUGCCUACUUGUGCCCUUGACACGUCCUAUGAUAAUUGUGGCUGUCUAUCUGCAUUGGCUAAGUAUAUAA
Molecule: ribosomal RNA, 198 nt
Filed under: Triticum aestivum (bread wheat)
Lineage: Eukaryota; Viridiplantae; Streptophyta; Magnoliopsida; Poales; Poaceae
Description: partial small subunit ribosomal RNA
Source: RNAcentral